This 355-nucleotide long non-coding RNA is filed under the name Sphaeramia orbicularis (orbiculate cardinalfish). Its description in RNAcentral is "lncRNA (ENSSORG00005010310.1)". Lineage: Eukaryota; Metazoa; Chordata; Actinopteri; Kurtiformes; Apogonidae. The record is from RNAcentral.
CAUUUAAGAGAUUUCCUGUAUGUUUCUGUGUUAUUAUGUUUGUUCAUGCAGCCUUUAUCCAAGGUAAGUUUUAUUUCUGUCUUCCUGAUCAGGGUCCACUGGGGUUACCAGGGCGACCAGGUGACCUAGGUGAGAAAGGAGAUGGUGGGAAACCUGGUCCGCCUGGACCUGAUGGAAAGAAAGGGGAAAAAGGAGAGGCAGGAAAACCUGGACCUCCGGGAGCACAAAUCAUUGCAGACAACAACAUAUUGACCAGGGUUAUCAAGGUAACCUUAAAAUAACAGCAUCUAUUUUAUUCAGUGUGUGUUAUGAGUGAAAUUUACAGAAAGAAUAUUUUCCCUCUGCUCUGCUCUAC